AAAACUUUGUUUUAAAAUCACUUUAAUACCUAUUUUCUUCUAAAAAAACCCUAAAACUUUGAAGUUCUCCCAUCCCUUUUCUUUCGGCCGAAAGGGCCUCCCUCGGCAUUCUUCAACCGCCGCCGUGGCCUAUGGCCGGCGUUGCGGAGAAUGGGUUUUUAAGCUCCGAUUUUGAAGCACUUCUGAAGGUUAAACCCUUGGCAACUAAAAAAGGAGAGGAAAAGAACUCUUGGCCCUUUUGCUGAACCCGAUCGCAACGACGAAGAAGGCUCUCCGACGGCACGACCAAGAGGACUCAGGUGCAUGGCCCGCUGGAGCAACGACAUGGCACUUGGCGUGGGUGUAUGGACGUCGCGCGUGGCAGUUGUACGGAGCUGAAGGCUGGGGUUUUGGCUGCGGCACAAGGGGAGAAACCCUAGGGUUUCUGUUUCUAAAAUGCCUUGGGCCGUUUGGGCCUUGUAUUUUGGGCUAGGUCUUGGGUUAGGUCUAGUUUUAUAAUAUUGGGUCACAUUUGUUGUUGGGUCAUGGACUAUUUUAUAUUUUGGGUCUGUUGUAACAAAGGGACUUGGACUAUUAAAAAUUUGGUUUUAUUUAUUUUAUUUAUUUUCUGUUGGGCCAAAAUUGGCCUAUUACAUAGUAUAUAUAUUAAAUAUGGUAAAAAUAAAUCAAGCUUGUGUAGCAGCUCAGGCUUUGCAAAUCCCAAAUCAAAACGAAUACUGUUAAUCUAUUUUCUAUCAAUUGUUGAAAAUUAUCGUCAAUAAUCUCGGUCUUUUCAUCCAAGUUCGGUAUGCCAGACAAGGUUUGAACAAGAGGGAUGUCGUUCCGUCUUUCGAUAAUAGGUGGGUGUUCUUUGAUAAGAAAAUCAAGGCAAAACCGAGUCUAGAACAGACCACACAACCUUCCACACGGGCUCGUGGGCCUUCCAUGUGGACCACACAGCCUCUCACACGACCAUGUGCCACUGAAACCCUAAAAUUUUUGCUUCUCACAUGGCUUAGAUCCCUCUACACGGUCUGGCCACACGGCCCGAGCCAUACCACAUGGGCGUCUGACCCACAAGGCUAUAUGCCUCUGUUUCUUAAAUUUUACCCCAAAUUUUAUGUUUUGUGCAAAUUAGACCUUGAGUGGUUCUCGAAUUGAUUUUAGUGAUUUAUUUUAUUCAAUUAAGCCCUUGAUUUUAAUAUUAAUGCUAGAAUCCAUGAUGGAUUGAUUCGAUUACUACUACAUAA
Long non-coding RNA from Gossypium arboreum, 1229 nucleotides. RefSeq lists it as uncharacterized. NCBI's taxonomy places the organism in Eukaryota, Viridiplantae, Streptophyta, Magnoliopsida, Malvales, Malvaceae. The transcript has 3 exons. The record is from RefSeq and is a predicted model, not a curated record.